AGUCGAGGGGCAGCAUUUUAGUUUGCUUGCAACUGAAGAUGGCGACCGGCGCACGGGUGAGUAACACGUAUCCAACCUGCCGAUAACUCCGGAAUAGCCUUUCGAAAGAAAGAUUAAUACCGGAUGGCAUACGAAUAUCGCAUGAUAUUUUUAUUAAAGAAUUUCGGUUAUCGAUGGGGAUGCGUUCCAUUAGUUUGUUGGCGGGGUAACGGCCCACCAAGACUACGAUGGAUAGGGGUUCUGAGAGGAAGGUCCCCCACAUUGGAACUGAGACACGGUCCAAACUCCUACGGGAGGCAGCAGUGAGGAAUAUUGCUCAAUGGGCGCGAGCCUGAACCAGCCAAGUAGCGUGAAGGAUGAAGGCUCUAUGGGUCGUAAACUUCUUUUAUAUGGGAAUAAAGUUUUCCACGUGUGGAAUUUUGUAUGUACCAUAUGAAUAAGGAUCGGCUAACUCCGUGCCAGCAGCCGCGGUAAUACGGAGGAUCCGAGCGUUAUCCGGAUUUAUUGGGUUUAAAGGGAGCGUAGGUGGAUUGUUAAGUCAGUUGUGAAAGUUUGCGGCUCAACCGUAAAAUUGCAGUUGAAACUGGCAGUCUUGAGUACAGUAGAGGUGGGCGGAAUUCGUGGUGUAGCGGUGAAAUGCUUAGAUAUCACGAAGAACUCCGAUUGCGAAGGCAGCUCACUAGACUGUUACUGACACUGAUGCUCGAAAGUGUGGGUAUCAAACAGGAUUAGAUACCCUGGUAGUCCACACAGUAAACGAUGAAUACUCGCUGUUUGCGAUAUA
RNAcentral lists this ribosomal RNA (784 nucleotides) under uncultured bacterium. RNAcentral describes it as "bacterial SSU rRNA". It matches the Rfam family "Bacterial small subunit ribosomal RNA", at positions 60 to 833 of the family's 1533-position model. The record is from RNAcentral.